This 73-nucleotide transfer RNA is filed under the name candidate division CSSED10-310 bacterium. RNAcentral describes it as "tRNA-Arg". It matches the Rfam family "tRNA". From Rfam's summary of the family: Transfer RNA (tRNA) molecules are approximately 80 nucleotides in length. Lineage: Bacteria; candidate division CSSED10-310. The record is from RNAcentral.
GCGCCCGUAGCUCAGGGGAUAGAGCACCGGAUUCCUAAUCCGGGUGUCGCAGGUUCAAAUCCUGCCGGGCGUA